GGAGUUUGGGCCGUGUCUCAGUCCCAAUGUGGCCGGUCACCCUCUCAGGUCGGCUACUGAUCGUCGCCUUGGUGGGCCGUUACCUCACCAACUAGCUAAUCAGACGCGGGUCCAUCUUGUACCGAAAAAACUUUUCACACUGCAUCAUGCGAUGCUGUGCGCUUAUGCGGUAUUAGCAGUCGUUUCCAACUGUUGUCCCCCUGUACAAGGUAGGUUACCCACGCGUUACUCACCCGUGCGCCGGUCGCCAUCUACCAAAGCAAGCUUCGAUAAUGCUGCCCCUCGACUUGCAUGUGUUAAGCCUGUAGCUAGCGUUCAUC
Molecule: ribosomal RNA, 320 nt
Filed under: uncultured Lachnospiraceae bacterium
Lineage: Bacteria; Bacillati; Bacillota; Clostridia; Lachnospirales; Lachnospiraceae
Description: partial 16S ribosomal RNA
Source: RNAcentral